Molecule: non-coding RNA, 299 nt
Organism: Podarcis lilfordi (Lilford's wall lizard)
Lineage: Eukaryota; Metazoa; Chordata; Lepidosauria; Squamata; Lacertidae
Source: the annotation of a GenBank genome assembly
GUGGUAGCUCAGUUGGUUAGAGCAUGGUGCUGAUACAGUGGUACCUCGGGUUAAGUACUUAAUUCAUUCUGGAGGUCUGUUCUUAACCUGAAACUGUUCUUAACCUGAAGCACCACUUUAGCUAAUGGGGCCUCCUGCUGCUGCCGCGCCGCCAGAGCACAAUUUCUGUUCUCAUCCUGAAGCAAAGUUCUUAACCCAAGGUACUAUUUCUGGGUUAGCGUAGUGUGUAACCAGAAGCGUAUGUAACCCGAGGUACCACUGUAAUGCCAAGGUUGCAGGUUUGAUCCUCGUAAGGAACA